GGAUUAGAUACCCUGGUAGUCUACGCCGUAAACGAUGUGCACUUGAUGGUGGGACCGUCCGGUUUCACUGUCGGAGCUAACGCAUUAAGUGCACCGCCUGGGGAGUACGCCGGCAACGGUUAAACUCAAAGGAAUUGACGGGGGCCCGCACAAGCGGUGGAGUAUGUGGUUUAAUUCGAUGCAACGCGAAGAACCUUACCUAGGCUUGACAUCCUGCGAAUCACUUUUAAACGAGUGAGUGCCCUUCGGGGAAUGCAGUGACAGGUGCUGCAUGGCUGUCGUCAGCUCGUGCUG
This 294-nucleotide ribosomal RNA is filed under the name uncultured bacterium. Its description in RNAcentral is "partial 16S ribosomal RNA". It matches the Rfam family "Bacterial small subunit ribosomal RNA", at positions 775 to 1067 of the family's 1533-position model. The record is from RNAcentral.